Molecule: small nucleolar RNA, 89 nt
Organism: Aspergillus glaucus CBS 516.65
Lineage: Eukaryota; Fungi; Ascomycota; Eurotiomycetes; Eurotiales; Aspergillaceae
Source: Rfam
UCAAAUGAUGAACACGUUAUUCACACUGUUUGAUCCGGUAAACCCGGAAAUGAACAUUUAAACAAAAAUUCUGAUUUAAUGAGGUGAGU